ACAUGUAUCUGUGUCAACUGUGUGGACCCAUGGGCUGUUGGCUCAAACCCCACCUUUGGAAUUCCCCAUUCACCACCAUCAACCAGGAAAUUGGGUCCUGAUUCAGACCUGGAAAGAAUCCACAACUCCAGCCUGAAUAGGAAGGACCAUUCCAAAUACUACUAAGCACUGAAACAGCCGUAAGAACUGCAGAAAAUGGUUGGACUCACUAUACUUGAGUGAAAGCAUCCGUUGACCCUAGUACCUGGGAAGUCGUUCCUACAGAAGACUUGUUGAAAGUUAAAAUCGAAAAGAAAAAUCUCAUAAGAGACUCUGAGCAGGAUAAAAGCUUACAAUUGUAAACUAACCUUUUAUUUUCACA
This is a long non-coding RNA of Oxyura jamaicensis (ruddy duck), 361 nucleotides long. RefSeq lists it as uncharacterized. The record is from RefSeq and is a predicted model, not a curated record. The transcript has 4 exons. NCBI's taxonomy places the organism in Eukaryota, Metazoa, Chordata, Aves, Anseriformes, Anatidae.